UCCUACGGGAGGCAGCAGUGGGGAAUAUUGCACAAUGGGCGCAAGCCUGAUGCAGCAACGCCGCGUGAGGGACGAAGGCCUUCGGGUUGUAAACCUCUUUUAGUAGGGAAGAAGCGACUGGGUUUUCCUGGGAGUGACGGUACCUGCAGAAAAAGCACCGGCUAACUACGUGCCAGCAGCCGCGGUAAUACGUAGGGUGCAAGCGUUGUCCGGAAUUAUUGGGCGUAAAGAGCUCGUAGGCGGUUUGUCGCGUCUGCUGUGAAAACCCGAGGCUCAACCUCGGGCCUGCAGUGGGUACGGGCAGACUAGAGUGCGGUAGGGGAGAUUGGAAUUCCUGGUGUAGCGGUGGAAUGCGCAGAUAUCAGGAGGAACACCAAUGGCGAAGGCAGAUCUCUGGGCCGUAACUGACGCUGAGGAGCGAAAGCAUGGGGAGCGAACAGGAUUAGAUACCCUGGUAGUCCAUGCCGUAAACGUUGGGAACUAGAUGUGGGGACCAUUCCACGGUCUCCGUGUCGCAGCUAACGCAUUAAGUUCCCCGCCUGGGGAGUACGGCCGCAAGGCUAAAACUCAAAGGAAUUGACGGGGGCCCGCACAAGCGGCGGAGCAUGCGGAUUAAUUCGAUGCAACGCGAAGAACCUUACCAAGGCUUGACAUAUACCGGAACCGGCUGGAAACAGUCGCCCCGCAAGGUCGGUAUACAGGUGGUGCAUGGUUGUCGUCAGCUCGUGUCGUGAGAUGUUGGGUUAAGUCCCGCAACGAGCGCAACCCUCGUCCUAUGUUGCCAGCACGUAAUGGUGGGAACUCAUGGGAUACUGCCGGGGUCAACUCGGAGGAAGGUGGGGAUGACGUCAAAUCAUCAUGCCCCUUAUGUCUUGGGCUUCACGCAUGCUACAAUGGCCGGUACAAAGGGCUGCGAUACCGCAAGGUGGAGCGAAUCCCAAAAAGCCGGUCUCAGUUCGGAUUGAGGUCUGCAACUCGACCUCAUGAAGUCGGAGUCGCUAGUAAUCGCAGAUCAGCAACGCUGCGGUGAAUACGUUCCCGGGCCUUGUACACACCGCC
Molecule: ribosomal RNA, 1059 nt
Filed under: uncultured Cryobacterium sp.
Lineage: Bacteria; Bacillati; Actinomycetota; Actinomycetes; Micrococcales; Microbacteriaceae
Description: bacterial SSU rRNA
Rfam family: Bacterial small subunit ribosomal RNA
Source: RNAcentral